This 213-nucleotide ribosomal RNA is filed under the name uncultured Lactobacillus sp. Its description in RNAcentral is "partial 16S ribosomal RNA". It matches the Rfam family "Bacterial small subunit ribosomal RNA", at positions 149 to 356 of the family's 1533-position model. The record is from RNAcentral. Lineage: Bacteria; Bacillati; Bacillota; Bacilli; Lactobacillales; Lactobacillaceae.
CCUGGAAACAGAUGCUAAUACCGGAUAACAACAGAUGAUGCCUAUCAACUGUUUAAAAGAUGGUUCUGCUAUCACUCUUGGAUGGACCUGCGGUGCAUUAGCUAGUUGGUAGGGUAACGGCCUACCAAGGCGAUGAUGCAUAGCCGAGUUGAGAGACUGAUCGGCCACAUUGGGACUGAGACACGGCCCAAACUCCUACGGGAGGCAGCAGCG